AUUGAACGCUGGCGGCAGGCUUAACACAUGCAAGUCGAGCGGGGUGAUGGUGCUUGCACUAUCACUUAGCGGCGGACGGGUGAGUAAUGCUUAGGAAUCUGCCUAUUAGUGGGGGACAACAUCUCGAAAGGGAUGCUAAUACCGCAUACGUCCUACGGGAGAAAGCAGGGGAUCACUUGUGCCCUUGCGCUAUUAGAUGAGCCUAAGUGGGAGUAGCUAGUUGGUGGGGUAAAGGCCUACCAAGGCGACGAUCUGUAGCGGGUCUGGGAGGAUGAUCCGCCACACUGGGACUGAGAAACGGCCCAGACUCCUACGGGAGGCAGCAGUGGGGAAUAUUGGACAAUGGGGGGAACCCUGAUCCAGCCAUGCCGCGUGUGUGAAGAAGGCCUUAUGGUUGUAAAGCACUUUAAGCGAGGAGGAGGCUCUUUUGGUUAAUACCCAAGAUGAGUGGACGUUACUCGCAGAAUAAGCACCGGCUAACUCUGUGCCAGCAGCCGCCGUAA
Molecule: ribosomal RNA, 503 nt
Filed under: uncultured bacterium
Lineage: Bacteria
Description: partial 16S ribosomal RNA
Rfam family: Bacterial small subunit ribosomal RNA
Source: RNAcentral